CCGCGCUAUGCGGGGAGUUAGCGAUGCCCUGUAUCCGCAAUUCGCUUAGCGGAGCAGAAUGCUUUUUCGAGGUUCGGUCUGUGGAAGGCAGGACUUUGCGUGGAGCGUUGAUGCCGGGGUCUUAUGCAACGGGUACUUGCGAACCGUGUCAGAGCAGGAAUGCAGCAGCACUAAACAAAUCUAUUCGUGUGCCAUAAGGUAGCUUCGGCGGAGCCACCUGCAAGGAUACC
This 230-nucleotide signal recognition particle RNA is filed under the name human gut metagenome. Its description in RNAcentral is "Bacterial large signal recognition particle RNA". It matches the Rfam family "Bacterial large signal recognition particle RNA", at positions 1 to 228 of the family's 256-position model. Rfam says of the family: The signal recognition particle (SRP) is a universally conserved ribonucleoprotein involved in the co-translational targeting of proteins to membranes. Archaeal SRP consists of a 7S RNA and homologues of the eukaryotic SRP19 and SRP54 proteins. The record is from RNAcentral.